GUAAAAACGAUGAUGGAACAAGUACGUUUUUGUGCGUGUAGAAGAAAGGGAUUUCUAGGCUGAAAAAAUCCUCACAAUCGCAACUACGGAAAGCUACUCCAGAGUGCAGCUAAUCCCUGCCGUUCACUGACGUUACAAGUGCUAGAGAGGUAAGUAUUUUUGCAUGCUUACAACUAGGGUGGUACCGCGAGAUUGUUACAAGUCCUCGUCCCUUUA
This 216-nucleotide non-coding RNA is filed under the name Lysinibacillus macroides. RNAcentral's name for it is "T-box sequence". It matches the Rfam family "T-box leader". From Rfam's summary of the family: Uncharged tRNA acts as the effector for transcription antitermination of genes in the T-box leader family. T-boxes are found upstream of many aminoacyl-tRNA synthetase genes and some amino acid biosynthetic genes usually in Gram-positive bacteria. The anticodon of a specific tRNA base pairs to a specifier sequence within the T-box motif, and the NCCA acceptor tail of the tRNA base pairs to a conserved bulge in the T-box antiterminator hairpin. The record is from RNAcentral. Lineage: Bacteria; Bacillati; Bacillota; Bacilli; Caryophanales; Bacillaceae.